Molecule: ribosomal RNA, 198 nt
Filed under: uncultured Bacteroidota bacterium
Lineage: Bacteria; Pseudomonadati; Bacteroidota
Description: uncultured Bacteroidetes bacterium partial 16S ribosomal RNA
Rfam family: Bacterial small subunit ribosomal RNA
Source: RNAcentral
CUACGGGAGGCAGCAGUAGGGACAUAUUGGGCAAUGGACGCAAGUCUGACCCAGCCAUGCCGCGUGCAGGAUGAAGGCGUUAUGCGUUGUAAACUGCUUUUAUACAGGAAGAAACGACUACUUGCGAGGAGGCAUUGACGUGUACUGUAUGAAUAAGCACCGGCUACACUCCGUCGCCAGCAGCCGCGGUAAUAGUAA